Molecule: long non-coding RNA, 1611 nt
Organism: Equus caballus (horse)
Lineage: Eukaryota; Metazoa; Chordata; Mammalia; Perissodactyla; Equidae
Source: Ensembl
CUGAAAUCACUCCUUUAGAAGCUGCUGGAGGCUUGGGACCAUGGAACGGUAAAAUGUCAACUUGAAGGAAAUUAAGGGAUUCAAACCAUGAGCUUGACCUUAGAGAGAGAAGGCUGAUUCCUGAGUGACGCCAGUGGAGGGAACCACAGCCACACUGGAUCUAGGCAGAGGAAACUAUCUGAGCACAAAGCUUCAGAGGUCCCCAAACCAGCUGAAAGCUGAAACAAGAAAGAGCAGGACAGAUAGGUCUUCGUUCCAGUGUACAGGUGACAGGUCAUGUGUGUUCUCUGAAAGCCAUUGAGCCAAUGUCACAUAGUGGUUUACAUCUGACCUUGGAAGCAGACUGUGAAGGGUCACAAUGCUGAUCCUGUCACUCCCCACUGCGUGAACUCGGGAAUCUCAAUCUCUCUGAGCCUCAUCUGCAAAAUGGGGCUAGAACCCAACUCCCAGGGUUGUGUGAAGAGUCAAUGAGCAAGUACAAGCCCACUUGGCACACAGGGAAGGCUCGACUAUAGAGCUCCUGUUACUCCUACCCCAUGAGCCUCUGGGAGGAGCAUCUGAGACACUACACCUGUAAACACCUGUGAAGACUGCAAACCCCCAUGCAAUCUCAAGGGGUCGUCAGUUUGUUUAAUUCUCCAUGAGACCUACCUCCAUAGUUCAUCAGAGGUCUGGACAAAAUCUCAAACCACAGUGGGAAGGAGUGCUCCUUCUGUAUCCGGAUGGGUACCUACAACUUGUGUUUUCAGGAACUGGGAGGACAAAGUGACUUCUUUGUACGCAUCUGGUCAGCCGCCACCCCACAGCACCAUGUCCUGGGUGAGGAUGGGUAGCUGGAUAAAACCUGUGGACUGGAACAUAUUUGACACCGUCUGCAAGGCACUAAGAGUCCACGGAUGAGGAAUUGCAGUAAUGAGCAGAGAGCAGCACGGUGGCUGUUAACGUUGCUGCUCUUCCAGGCAGAGGUCAGCACUGCCUCGUGAGCGAGUGACUGAGCACCGCAGAAUCGUGCAGCGUCUCCUCUGCAAUCACAUUUGGCCCUCUCUGGAGUAAUCAGACAAAGUGCCCACAGGAGAGCGAGGCCCGAGAGCCAUGAGGCGCUUAUUUAGGCCAAUAGCAUGAUGCAGCAGAAAAAGCGUGAGCUUCGAUGCCAAAGAGAAGAGGAACAGAAUCUCGGAUCUGCCCACUUUGUGUCCUGGAGCACAGAUAGACUACAAACUUCAUCAAGGCGGUUGUACCCAUUUUGGAGUGCAUUCAGCUACAAGUAACAGAAACUUGACAGUGGCUUCAACAAAUAAGGAUUCACUUUUGUCAUCUAAAAAAGAAGUACAGAGGUAGUGGCUGCUGGUAAUGUUUCAGAACCUCAACAAUGUCACAAUGUCUCUUUGACUCUUUUGGUCUUUACUUCAUGGGUUCAAGAUAGCUGUUGCAGCUCUAGCCAUCAUAUCCAAAUUAAAGCAAGAAGAAAGGAAAAGGGAUGAGGACAGCCAUAUCUGUCUCAUUUUAGUGGGAAAGCAAGCUUUCCAUUCUUGAGCUUGGCCGUAACUGGGUUGCUUACAACUCCAAGCGGCAAGGGAGGCUGGGAGAUGAGAUUCUGCAGGCUAAAUUGGG